UAUAGAAAAGAACAAAACUACAUUACUUGUAACAAAAAGUUGCAUUUGAAGAACUGCAGAUUUGCUACCUACAUUCCUCCUGCUAUUUGGGUGACUGGACCACCUCAUAGCUAACAGGGAAAUGUAUCAGACUGAAACAUCUUAUCAGCCAGAUACGGUGGAGGGAAGUGGAGCCUACAGCAAGAGAUGCAGAAUUGCCACCUUACGGGUGGAGCAGCUGGUCUGUCCAAAUUGCACAUCCAGCCACAAGAACAACAUAUUGGAAAAGUCUCUUCCACCUGCUUCCAGAGCGUGACUCCAAAGUUUAGCUGUGACCAGGCUUUCCGAGGAGGUAGUUCUUAGUUUCCCUCAAGUGUUUGGGCCUUCAACAACCCCUGGCAAAGAGUUACAAGCUGGCUGUGCGUAAGUGGGCUCUUCAAUCAAGCAGAGAAAGAUUAAUGUUUAGGAAUUUAAAAUCAACUUGGGUCACAGAUAUCAUCAGUGAUGUUGACAGAAAUGCUUCAAGCCAGCCUGCAGUUGUGGUGAAUAAUGAUCAGCCAGAUGAACCUCACCUUUGGAACCAUUCUCCAAUGACUACUCAGGCAAGGACUCCGAGGGCACGUCUGCCCUAGAGGGGACUUCAUUACCCUAGAAGAGAUGAGACUGCACAUUAUCUUGCUGGAGGACCACAUCAUUAGAAGCACCAGACAAUCCCGAGAGGUCUUCAGAAGGAAGUAGCAAAGGGACUAUCCUGCAAUGCCACGCCUAGCUAUGAGG
Non-coding RNA from Pelodiscus sinensis (Chinese soft-shelled turtle), 756 nucleotides. The record is from RefSeq and is a predicted model, not a curated record. NCBI's taxonomy places the organism in Eukaryota, Metazoa, Chordata, Testudines, Trionychidae.